RNAcentral lists this ribosomal RNA (1225 nucleotides) under Halimeda distorta. RNAcentral describes it as "SSU rRNA". It matches the Rfam family "Eukaryotic small subunit ribosomal RNA". Lineage: Eukaryota; Viridiplantae; Chlorophyta; Ulvophyceae; Bryopsidales; Halimedaceae. The record is from RNAcentral.
GCGGUAAUUCAAGCUCCAAUAGCGUAUAUGUAAAUUGUUGCGGUUGAAAAGCUCGUAGUUGGACUUCUGGCGACUGCGUUCGGUCCGCCAAGCGCGUGCACUGUCCGCGGUCGUCGUUUCUGUCGACGUGGCGCGUCGGCCUUAGUUGGUCGGUGCGUCGUCUGUCGGCGAUGUUACUUUGAGGAAAUCAGAGUGCUCAAGGCAAGCGUUCGCUCGUGACUUCACUAGCAUGGAAUAACACAGAUGGGCUCUUUCUCGCACUGUUGGUCUGCGUCAAUUGAGCAACGAUCGAUAGAGACGGUCGGGGGCAUUCGUAUUGCGCAGUUAGAGGUGAAAUUCUCCGAUCUGCGCAAGACGUACUAAUGCGAAAGCAGUUGCCAAGGACGUCCUCUUAUGAUCAAGAGCGAAAGUCGGGGGAUCAAAGAUGAUUAGAUACCGUCGUAGUCCCGACCAUAAAUGAUGCCGACUGAGCUUCGGCGACUCGACCUCAGGUCGUACGUCGGCGCUCUUAGAGAAAUUAAAGUCUUUGGGCUCCGGGGGUAGUAUGGUCGCAAGUCUGAAACUUGAAGGAAUUGACGGAAGGGCACCACAAGGCGUGGAUGUUGCGGCUUAAUUUGACUCAACACGGGAAAGCUUACUAGGUUUGGACACCUUUGUGAUGGACAGAUUGAAGCUCUUACCCUACUGCGUGGAUGGUGGUGCAUGGUCGUUCUCAGCCCGUGGGUUGACCUGUCAGGUUUACUCCGGUAACGCGCGAGACCUCGGUCUGCUAAAUAGACGCGGCUGUUYCGGCACCCGCGCUCUUCUUAGAGAGAGACUCGACGAGAGUCGAGGGAAGUCGAGGCAAUAACAGAUCUGUGAUGCCCUUAGUUAUCCUAGGUCGCACGCGCCAUACAAUGUGGCGCACAACGAGUCUCCUUGGCCGACAGGAUCUGGGCAAUCUGGCAGAGCGCUACGUGACUGGGCUAGACUUUUGUAAUUUUUGGUCUUGAACGAGGAAUGCCUAGUAAUCGCAGGUCAGCAUCCUGCGAUGAUUCGGUCCCUGCCCUUUGUACACACCGCCCGUCGCUCCAUCCGUGGCAUGCGCCGGUGAAGAGGGGGAGGCAGCGUCGGCCGGGUAACACCGGAUCGUACGUGGAACCCCUCUGAACCUUCGCACGUAGAGGAAGGAGAAGUCGUAACAAGGUUUUCGUAGGUGAACCUGCGAAAGGAUCAUUAUCGGCAC